ACCGUCCAAACGUUAUUCGGAAUCACUGGGCUUACAGAGUUCGUAGGCGGUCUGGAAAGUUGGGUGUGAAAUCCCUCGGCUCAACCGAGGAACUGCGCUUGAAACUACCAGACUCGAGGGAGAUAGAGGAAAGCGGAACUGAUGGUGGAGCGGUGAAAUGCGUUGAUAUCAUCAGGAACACCGGUGGCGAAGGCGGCUUUCUGGGUCUUACCUGACGCUGAGGAACGAAAGCCAGGGGAGCGAACGGG
This 248-nucleotide ribosomal RNA is filed under the name uncultured bacterium. Its description in RNAcentral is "partial 16S ribosomal RNA". It matches the Rfam family "Bacterial small subunit ribosomal RNA", at positions 529 to 776 of the family's 1533-position model. The record is from RNAcentral.